Molecule: ribosomal RNA, 502 nt
Filed under: uncultured bacterium
Lineage: Bacteria
Description: partial 16S ribosomal RNA
Rfam family: Bacterial small subunit ribosomal RNA
Source: RNAcentral
ACUCAAAUGAAUUGACGGGGGCCCGCACAAGCGGUGGAGCAUGUGGUUCAAUUCGAAGCAACGCGCAGAACCUUACCAGCUCUUGACAUGGGACGUUUGGGCACCGGAGACGGUGUUCUUCAGUUCGGCUGGCGUCCACACAGGUGCUGCAUGGCUGUCGUCAGCUCGUGUCGUGAGAUGUUGGGUUAAGUCCCGCAACGAGCGCAACCCUCAUCUUCAGUUGCCAUCAGGUCAAGCUGGGCACUCUGAAGAAACCGCCGGUGACAAGCCGGAGGAAGGCGGGGAUGACGUCAAGUCCUCAUGGCCCUUAUGGGCUGGGCUACACACGUGCUACAAUGGUGGUGACAGUGGGACGCAAGGGGGCGACCCUGAGCAAAUCUCAAAAAGCCAUCUCAGUUCGGAUUGCACUCUGCAACUCGAGUGCAUGAAGGUGGAAUCGCUAGUAAUCGCGGAUCAGCACGCCGCGGUGAAUACGUUCCCGGGCCUUGUACACACCGCCCGU